CCCCUUUUAAAAGCACUCAAUGGGCCUUUUGCUAGUGACCCACUGAGCCAUCAAGAAGGGGCAAAGUAAAAACACUGCUUUCGGGUAAAGUAGCAAAUUGUGUUGUUUUACUUCAAUCGGUGUUUUGACAAGA
This 133-nucleotide small nucleolar RNA is filed under the name Nannospalax galili (Upper Galilee mountains blind mole rat). Lineage: Eukaryota; Metazoa; Chordata; Mammalia; Rodentia; Spalacidae. The record is from RNAcentral.